Molecule: transfer RNA, 71 nt
Filed under: Jatropha curcas
Lineage: Eukaryota; Viridiplantae; Streptophyta; Magnoliopsida; Malpighiales; Euphorbiaceae
Rfam family: tRNA
About the family: Transfer RNA (tRNA) molecules are approximately 80 nucleotides in length.
Source: Rfam by way of RNAcentral
GCCAAGAUAGUUAUUGGUUAGAACAUUAAUUUCAUGCGUUAAUAAUGAGAAUUCGAAUUUCUCUCUUGGUU